UACAUGGGUUGCAAACGUUGCUCGGAAUUAUUGGGCGUAAAGCGCACGUAGGCGGUCCGUUAAGUCGGAUGUGAAAUCCCCCGGCUCAACCGGGGAAGUGCAUCCGAAACUGGCGGGCUAGAGUACGAAAGAGGGUCGCGGAAUUCCCGGUGUAGAGGUGAAAUUCGUAGAUAUCGGGAGGAACACCGGUGGCGAAGGCGGCGACCUGGGUCGAUACUGACGCUGAGGUGCGAAAGCGUGGGGAGCAAACAGG
RNAcentral lists this ribosomal RNA (253 nucleotides) under uncultured bacterium. Its description in RNAcentral is "partial 16S ribosomal RNA". It matches the Rfam family "Bacterial small subunit ribosomal RNA", at positions 524 to 776 of the family's 1533-position model. The record is from RNAcentral.